GAAUUUGUAAUGUUAUUAAUGCAGACAAAUAAUAUUGAAGUAUUCAUGUAGAAGAGGAUACCUGCUAUUGUUUCGUCCCAGUCGUCGCUAUACAAGGCAAAACAAAAGAGUAAGAAUCGGCAUCCUCAAGUAUGCAGGGAAGGAUUUCUGUGACGCACAGAAUAAACACGGAUACUUCAACCUGCGACCAGCACGACACUCCAACGAGGACACGGCGGUGGACGUCUGCCGGAUGUUUAGAAGCUCUCAAGCAGUUCCAUAAUCCUCUUCUGCUCGCUUUCUUUAAAUUCUUCACUCUUACCGUCACCAAUGCUUUCUGCAUAUUCUGAAACACGAGAGAGAAU
Molecule: long non-coding RNA, 344 nt
Organism: Triplophysa dalaica
Lineage: Eukaryota; Metazoa; Chordata; Actinopteri; Cypriniformes; Nemacheilidae
Exons: 3
Source: RefSeq, a predicted model, not a curated record